RNAcentral lists this long non-coding RNA (358 nucleotides) under Lathyrus oleraceus (garden pea). RNAcentral describes it as "Pisum sativum (pea) long non-coding RNA (PSAT_LNC026371)". The record is from RNAcentral. Lineage: Eukaryota; Viridiplantae; Streptophyta; Magnoliopsida; Fabales; Fabaceae.
AUCCGAACCAAACACACGCACACUGGAAUCCAAAUGCCACUCGAUGGACUUACAUCAGCUUCCAAGCACACAACAACACAACAAGUUGAUAGGGAGUCGGGGACUCGAGCCUAUAACUGUCAAGCACACACUCAAACAAACAGACAGCAAAUGCUAAGGAGUCACAGACUCAAGCCUAGCAAAGGUCAGACAACACACACAAAAGAAAGAAAAGGCGCCCGGAGAGAUCAGCUCAAUCUCCUGCCUACAUACUUCAUCUGGUAUGAAGAUCAGGGCGAUGUAGUUCCCCUACGCAGGGAUAAAGGACCUAGCCUAACCAGAUAACAGAGGGAGACACAACUAGGGAGACUACGACUCG